GCUACCAUGUAAACAUGGAAAUCAUGCAACCAUCAGAAUAAAAGAACCUAUCAGAAGCACAUAUCAAAUCAUGCAACCAUCAGAAUAAAAGGUUUUUACAGUUCUAUCACCAUAGUCAUGUCAUUAAAAAGAGACAUAUCCUACAUAAACAUAUAUAUCAAGCCUAAACAAGUAGUAAACAUGUUUACACCCCAUGAGCAGCCAAGAAGCAAGAAGCAAUAGCCAGUACUACUGCCUCAAGCCCUUGAACACAAAAAGGCGAGAACUGGAUGCAGAGGUUUAUCGAUUGAUUCCCGCGUUGUCGUUGGCUGCAACAAGGACCAAAAGGAAGAAAAAAAAAGAACACCCUCUCAAAGAAAUUCGCCGCUCCUGGAUCAGCGCCACAAGGCAGGGAAGGGAUCGAUAAACCACUGCGCCCAGGCAUCACCACCAACCCCCCACCCCCACCUGCGAACAUGAUGGAUUAGCGCAAGAAACCGGAACAAAACAAGAACGGAACACAGAGCCACCUGCAAGAUCGGGCACGAACGAACACUCGUGGGUGUGAAUCUGUGUUUCUCGUGUGUGCAAUGAGGAAGG
RNAcentral lists this non-coding RNA (579 nucleotides) under Oryza sativa Indica Group (long-grained rice). The record is from RNAcentral. Lineage: Eukaryota; Viridiplantae; Streptophyta; Magnoliopsida; Poales; Poaceae.